This 472-nucleotide ribosomal RNA is filed under the name uncultured bacterium. RNAcentral describes it as "bacterial SSU rRNA". It matches the Rfam family "Bacterial small subunit ribosomal RNA", at positions 355 to 825 of the family's 1533-position model. The record is from RNAcentral.
UGGGGAAUCUUGGACAAUGGGCGAAAGCCUGAUCCAGCCAUGCCGCGUGUGUGAAGAAGGUCUUCGGAUUGUAAAGCACUUUAAGUUGGGAGGAAGGGCAUUUACCUAAUACGUAAGUGUUUUGACGUUACCGACAGAAUAAGCACCGGCUAACUCUGUGCCAGCAGCCGCGGUAAUACAGAGGGUGCAAGCGUUAAUCGGAAUUACUGGGCGUAAAGCGCGCGUAGGUGGUUUGUUAAGUUGGGUGUGAAAUCCCCGGGCUCAACCUGGGAACUGCAUUCAAAACUGACAAGCUAGAGUAUGGUAGAGGGUGGUGGAAUUUCCUGUGUAGCGGUGAAAUGCGUAGAUAUAGGAAGGAACGCCAGUGGCGAAGGCGAUCACCUGGACUGAUACUGACACUGAGGUGCGAAAGUGUGGGGAGCAAACAGGAUUAGAUACCCCUGUAGUCCCUGAGCGGGCUGGCAAGGCGCAU